This 428-nucleotide ribosomal RNA is filed under the name uncultured prokaryote. Its description in RNAcentral is "bacterial SSU rRNA". It matches the Rfam family "Bacterial small subunit ribosomal RNA", at positions 355 to 774 of the family's 1533-position model. The record is from RNAcentral.
UGGGGAAUAUUGCGCAAUGGGGGAAACCCUGACGCAGCGACGCCGCGUGUGGGAAGAAGGCCUUCGGGUCGUAAACCACUGUCAAGAGGGAAGAACCGCAUGGGGGCGAACAGGCCCUGUGCCUGACGGUACCUCUGGAGGAAGCAUCGGCUAACUCCGUGCCAGCAGCCGCGGUAAUACGGAGGAUGCGAGCGUUAUCCGGAUUCAUUGGGUUUAAAGGGUGCGUAGGCGGACUAUUAAGUCAGCGGUGAAAUCCUGCAGCUUAACUGCAGAACUGCCAUUGAUACUGAUCAGCUUGAGGCUAGUAAAGGAGAGCGGAAUUCCCGGUGGAGCGGUGAAAUGCGUAGAUAUCGGGAGGAACACCAGAGGCGUAGGCGGUUCUCUAGGCUAGUCCUGACACUGAGACACGAAAGCUAGGGGAGCAAACG